GGGGAUAUCCACAAGUAAUCUAGGUCUAAGCACCACGCUUACACCUAUACUACAACUCUAACCUAUAGGGUCCUAUAGAUUAGAAGUACUCAAAAGAGUUGUGAACCAGAACAUACAUGAUUAGUAAUUGCAUAAUGAAUUAGAAGUAGAUUACCAGAGUCAUCCCAUGAGCAAGCUUGAUUAGAGCUUGAUCAUGGCAAAGUACAACCGGAGGAAGAACCGACAGGCCGGCCUCUCCUCUAAUCCUCCUUCGCUCUCCAUCUCGCUACUAUCUAGAUCUACUCUAGUUUAGAGAAGAGAGGAGAGCUCUCAUCUCUAAACCCUAGCUUUUGCUCUGUCUAUGAAUAAUGAAUAAUGAUCAAGGGGUGCCUCCUCCAGGGGCCAGGGGGUCUGGUUUUAUAGUCCCCUCAAGUGAAUCUGGGCCGUCGGAUCAAACCGACAUUGAUUGAACGGUUAUUCUUGAUCCUUUAGGUCGGUGGAGCAUAAUCCGCGAGAUUGAGCGUGAUUGGCCACAGGAGGUGGGCGGGCGCCCAGUAGGACAGGGCAGGCGCCCUGUCUCUGGCCCCGUUUCACCUCCGCUUCGGUCUCGUGGCUUCUGGAGUCUUCUAGAUGUAAGAUAAUUGCGCAGCACGUUAAUAUCUUUACGUAAUCCCGAUAUGUGGGCCUUUCUUCCGUAUUUCCUGAUAACCCCCUGCAGAAAUAGACAAACACCAAAACUCGUGGAAUUCUGUCAGAUAAAACCCUAAGUCUUGAUGUUGAUUUCAUUUGGAUCCUUUUCUUUGUUUAUUUGAUAGUUAAAUUUGAUACUUAAGGACCGUCAACAAACUCCCCCAAGCUUACCUCUUGCUCGUCCCUGAGCAAGGAUAGACUCAGCAAUGGAUCAGAAGUUGUUGCAAUAUCUUAAAAAUUUAACGGUACACAUGCUUUUAAAUAAGAUCUCAUCUCUGAGUUAGAGUAAACUGUCAAGAACUAAAACUUACUUACUUUACCUUUCACCAUGGGACUUGUAACUGUCACUUCUGUCUUGAGUAGUUAAAAGAUAGAACAGUCUAGCCAAGUGCCAUGUCUCUUAUUCUUGAUCAGCUAUAGCUCUGGAGUUUUUUGUAGAUUUUCAAAUAAAACUCAGAGAUUCCUUGUAUGACUCUCUAAAUCUCUCUUUUGUGGUAUUUCUGGAUCCUUACCAAGGCAGUGAUGGUAUAUGCCUUCUCUCAAGAUAUAUGGUAUUUGUGGUAUAAGGCAUAGUGACAUUGUCUUCUCUCUCACCCUACUCUAAUAAGGCUUUAAUAUCUGGAGCUUAUAGGUGGGAGAUAAAGUAUACAUACUUACAAGACAUUUAUUGUGUAGUCAAACCAUGGAUCCAAAGAAACAAAUCAAUAAGCCAAAUCAAGAUGUGCAUGUGUGGCGAAUGAAUGGUGUAUGGUGAUGAUGGUGAUAACAAUGGUGAAAGUCUAAUUCUACUUUUGCUCUUUUGAGGAGAUACAUACCUUCCUUGCUUUUUGAAACUUUAUGAGGAGAAUGAGAUCCUCUUCUUUUUCUUUCCUCUCAGGUGGGUAUCUUGUACCCCUAAUUCUACUGUCGGACACUUGUCCAUUUUUACCUCUCGUCUCACUUUUUCUUUCUUUCGAGGUUCCGGGCACUUGCCCCUUUUUAUUUCCUCGUUUAUUAUUAUUUUUUUCUUUUCUUUUCUUAUCUUUUCUUUUUUUUCAGAGCACUCAUCUCCUGAAAUAAUGUAGCAAGUGGUAGUAACCUAAAUAACUGGAGCAUUUAUUUCACAGGGAAUAACAGGGAUAGGAAAAUGUUUUUGGCUAUUCUCUCCCGGAUUAGGAGUAGAAUGAUUUUGGGUGAAACUGGAGAUGGAAAUGGAUGGAUAUAUGUGAAUGGUACUUCCGGAGUAGAAGUAGCAUAUAUGAGUGAACGUGCAAGUGAAUCUUGAUUUAACCACAUGACAAGCUCCUAUGGGUCUACACAGCUUGACCACACUCAAUGCUCAUAAGCAGUAAAUAAUAAAUGUGUGGCUCAAAGUCUAGCAAGCAUGUAUAUAUGGCUGUGGUAGGAAUUUAAACUUUCAUCAUACAAGAACUCAUCAUGCAACAUUUUAAAGAUUUUUCAAAGAUAAAAUUCUCCAAAAUUCUAGCAUCUCUAGGAAUAGAUAAACAGCAGCUCAACCUUCCCAUAUCAUAUCCGUUAACAACUUAGAUUUCACAUCAAGUUUUCAUCCCACAAGUUUAGAUCUAGAGCAAGCUUUAAAUUAUAACAGUUAUGUCUAAACUUGAGAGAGAACUUCAAAUUUGCAAAUUAGGCAGAGCAACUAUUCAUCAUAUCCAUGCUAGAGUUUUAUUAUUAAGAUUCAGAUUAGCAUAGCCACUUUAUUUAUUUAUUAAACACACUAAGCAAAAGAUAUAUAUAUAAGCACAAAAUCUUUAUUUGGUUUUUCAUAGUUUAUGUAUUUUAAUAUUCUAAUAUAAUAUAAGUAUAAAGAUAGGUAGAAAUACUUAGCGAGAUAAAUGGGGGUGCUCUCCCCCAAGCUGAAUUUUGACGUAAUUUCUCUUGAUGUAGCUAGCAGGUGGCAGAGGUGUAUUUGAAAGUCAGCAGCAUUCUGACAGCGAUUAGAAUGUCCUCCGUCUGCUAGUCUUCUUGAUUCUUAAAUUCUGUGGAGCUCAAAUAGACAAUAAAGCUUGUGGAACUAAUUAAGUGUUAGCAUAAAUAUCUAGCCUUCAUCACGUUGAGCUUCCUCAAUAAAUAUUACUCCCUGUUUGUAUAUUUUUAUUUUAUAAAGUAGAAAAGAAAUAUUUAUUUUAUUGUUAUGCCACCACAGUGAAGGUACUUAUGGGUUUUAUGCCACUCGUAUACUCACAUGGGGCUUAGUAUUGUUGAUGCAAAACUGAUCUGCAAACACAAAGGGCUAAUACCCGAUUCAAACGUUAAGGCGUGCCAGCCGAUUUGACCUUGCUAUCGGCAAAGGUUAUAACUCGAAUACUUUAGUCCUGACAACAGCGAUGCGCCCGGAUGUCACGGCUAAGAGGUACUCACGCGGAACUUGAGAACACGCCGAGCUUAAGUCGACGAAUUCCUAAGAACUCGUAGUAAAAGGAAAAAAAGUAUGACGAAGUCGUCGAAAAGUAGAUGCUAGAAUAUGAGUAAAAACGUGUGUUUGAUUGAUUUCUUGAUUCUCUGAUUACAAGGUCCUAGGGUUUAUAUUUAUACCCUGCUCAAAGAGCUACGACCAGACACGAUUAGAAUUCGAAUUCCAAAUUACACGGAAUCCGUAUACAAAACGAUGCAAAUAACUAAGGAAAUAAUAAAACUACCGUUCGUGACAAACCGAAACUCCUCCACAUGACAACUGGCAGCUUCCGGACUCCUCCUUCGCGCCAUCGGCAAUCCCCUUGCCAUAGUCAUCGGCAGACCUUUUUAUCCAGUCAUCGGCACCAUAUUACUGCCUGUGGACUUAGUCACAUUCAACCUCUCCCUCAUCGGCAACCAUCCUCAUCAGCAACCCGCAUCGUACUGCCACCCUAUCCUGCCAUCCUGGACACGUGCCCAAAAAUGGUGUCAACACAUGCCCCCCAGUUUCGGAGUAUAAAACUAUUAAUGCUCCGAAAUUCUCUGCAGUAAUGAUGCCUUUUCCGCAAUUAAUGCUCCUAAUCUGGUAACCGACAACCUCAAUCUGGAUAACUCUGAUCCUAAUCCUCCGCAGAUUCCUCGAAAUCCCCAACUUCCUAAACGGGCAUCUUUCUUGGUCGUACAUCGGCAACAAUACCGUUACAAAGACCUGCCGAUGCUCUGCCCAGGAUAUUCGCAAAAACGGUUACCUCCCCUCUAUCCGCCCAUCGGCAAGAUGACCGUUAUAGAAUAUCGCCGAUGGACCGACCAGGAGAUCUCGCACAGUAAAAUAUCUUUAGAUAAUGACCGCUUCCUGUCAAAUCACCUACACAAUCCCUGGAUUACCGUGCGAACAGUUACCAUAUCCACCUGAGUACCCUCGGGCUUCUCGGAUGCGGCAAAGAAAUAAGUCGGAUUUGCCCUUGCCCAUCUUGUCCUAUAAAUAGUUCCUUCUUGGGUACUCCUCCCCCAUUACACCAUUCCACUAUCCAACUUUGCUUUUCCAGCGGCGGCGCCAUUUACAACCCUCAAGAUCUCCAACAAGCACUCCUCUUCAUCAACUCCGGUGCUCUCCAACGUCCUCUUCACGACAAGAUGGCCAUUGGCUUCGUCGUCCCUGAGGUCAGACUUCCAUCUCACUUCCUGUACUUUUUCUCGCAUUCCUGUUCAUCUGUGAUUCAUCCUACUGAAUAUCUUCCUUUUUCUUUUCCUUUGUAUUUUUAUUCCCCAAAACACUAGGAAUUGUACAACAAAAUUGUCAUCCCUACCGAUCAACCACACCUUCAGUGCCUCGGCCCUCUAGGGAAUCCAGAUCCAACCGACUUUAUCAAUGCAGAAACCAACAUGAUCCCCUUUAGAGCCGAAAACUUUUCUUUAGAUCUGUGGAAAGACACCUUUCGCUCUUGGCCCAGCCCUACUGUAGGGUGGAAAGAUUGGUUCUUGAGGGUCAGCAAUUCUUAUGAAGUCCAGUGGGGUGAGAGGAAGCUAGCUCAAUGCAUUAGGCUAUCCAUUGCCGAUAUGCACAGGAACGAGUCGCUGCUGAUAGCUGCAUCCUACUUUUGGUCAGACACUCUCAAUGCUUUUGUUUUUGGCCACGGCCCUGCUUCUCCUACCCUUGCCGAUGUAGCCAUGCUCACUGGGCUAGAUAUAUCUUCUGCCGAUAGCACCCAUUUUUUUGAUACUGCUCCCAGUGCCAAAGUGGAGACUCGCGCUAUCGGCGGUUGGUCAGGGUACAUCCAGAAGUACCGCGGGAGGGGGCCUGUCACCAUAAAGGAGCAAACCACCUUUCUGAACAUGUGGCUGGACAAGUUUGUAUUCUGUGGUCGAUCGGCAGGACCAACUUCCGUCUAUCUAUCGGCAGCAGAAAGACUGGCCAGUGGUGGCCAAUUUCCUCUCGGCCGAUAUUUGCUCAGCGCUGUUUACCACCUUCUUCAUCAGGUAGCCCAGAAACUCCUGCUUGGCCAAUCCAUCGGCAACUUGGGAGGCCCCUGGUGGUUUAUUAAUAUGUGGCUCAAUCUGCACCUGCAUAAGCGCCUCGAUUUCAACUUGUUCUCACAGCACUUCCCAAGAGAUAUAGCCGAGAAUCAUGUGUUGGGUGAAGAGGAAUCGGCAACGCGUGCCCCCUUGAACUUUGGCGAAGCCGUUAUAGUCUUACCCGGUUCAGGGAACAAUCCGGAUCAGAUCGGCCGAUUCUUCGAGAUUCUGUAUGAGGGUCUGGCCAGAGAUGAACGACCAUGGCUGGCUUAUGACGACCCAGACAGUAUGCUUCCUCUGACCUUCAAUCCAUUUGAUGAAGCUCUCGACAGGGACAAUGAGGUGAUGAUGGCAAUUGUGACUCCCAGAGCCAUACCAGUGAAUUUCUUCGGUAGCACAAAAACCUCUCCCCAAACCUAUGAAUUUUAUAAUCCAUCGGCAUUAGCUCGCCAACUAGCUUUCGGCCAAUUGCCGAUUGCACUUCCUUAUGCCGAUGUAAUAAAGCCCAGAGAACCCGUCGCCAACCUUCUCGAGUGGACUCGAGUAGCCCAGCUACCACCAAAUGCCGAUACAGAUGUAGAUCUGUCAGAAUGGGUCCCAGCUGCCUUUAUCACUCAGGCAUACAAGCUAUGGUGGGCAGAAUGGAAAGAGAAUCUAUUCUGCAGAUCGGCCCUCUCAUACCGCGGUAUGAUCGACCCCGAAUACGAAGUCCCUGAUGACACUGUAAGUAUUUUAAACCGAUGUUUCAUUUUCCAAUACUAUUUCCAUCGGUAACUUACCCCUGUAUUCCUUUUGCAGAUUGACAACACCCCCCCAUCGGUUAGCAGGAGUGGCAAGCCGAUCGACUUGUUCCCAUCAGGCCCGAUCUCCUCAAUCGGCCAUAAUGCUCCCACUCUGGCUUCCAUCGUGCACCGGGGUGCGCGCCUCAAGAAAGUUACCACCAGGAAGACUCAGACAUCGCCAACGGUAGCUGCUUCCACUCUGGCGCAAGCUUUCAGGGCAAUUUGUCAAACCCUUUUCAUUUAUGCUAACUAUCUUUGUAUCGGCUAUCUAUGCUCAUAAACUCCUUUUUGUUGUUGCAGCAAACUGGUGCAUCGGCAAAAGCCAAACGCCAAGGUACCGAUGCCCCCCAGUCCAGCCAGCCAAAGAGGAAGGGCACCCAAGGUGCUAAGGCUGGAACAAAGCGCCAGAAAGUGGCAACUCCUCCUCCUCCUCUGGUGUCUCCAAUCCCGGUGAAAUCUUCCCCUUCUUCUCCAGAAGUCCAGACACAGCAAGCACCAUCUCCCUAACCAAUACAGGAAGCACCACAGAUGGAAGAACCCCAGCAGGAAGAACCUCAAACGGAAGGUACAUCAGCUGACGUAGGUGAACAAACAACUGGCCUGGCGGGUCCAGUUAUAUCAUUGGCGGUUUCCCCAAUUCAGACAACUGUUGUUCCUCCUUCGGGUAACAUAUCUCAACAAUACUUCCGCCAAUAAACUUAUUCUCAUUUAGUCUCAUAACCCUUCCUGUCUUCUUUCAGGCGAUAUCGUUCCAUCGGCAACAUCUGCCGAUCAACCUGUAGUUCCAUCAGUAUCUCUGAGUCAAAGGCAAGAAAUUGCCCUGAAACAAGUAAGUCAUCCAACUUUUCCAUCAGCAUCGUCUGCCGAAGCUUUGACCAUAACAAAUGACUUAUUUCAUUCUCAUUUUCAGGAACAAGAUUCUCCCGAUAGCUUAUUCUCCUUCGCCAUUGAUAUCUUCGAGGAAGAAAGCGAGGAAGCAAGCUCCUCUCAGGCAGUUGGAACUGUAUCGGCAGAAACCAGAGCUAAGCUGGAAGAGCUAUCGGCCAUACUUCAUCAAGACACUGCUCAACUGGUCAACGAUUCCGACCCAGCCAAGGCCUUGUUCAAAACCCUUAGAGGACAAAUUCCUGCCGAUGCUGAAGAAACGCUCUUCCAUGCUGCAUACCUAGAAAGCCGCCAGCUAUAGUACCAGAGAGCUACUCGACGUCUUGCCGAUAGAGCCGCUCAAAUCCAGCUCUCUGAGGAGAUGAUGAAAGAAAAACUCUUAGCCGAUGAGAAACAUAAGAACAUCGGCACCUUAAAGUCCUCAGGUGAUGCACUGAAGCAGAGAGUAUCUGAUCUAUCAGCAAAAAGAGAAGCUCUACUGGCCGAACUCAAGCAAGUAGAGGAUGCUCUGUCCCAAGCCCAGCAAGAAGAGAGUCAACUGCCGGAGACCAUCAAGCACCUCGAACAAGAACGAAACGUCCACGGUCGCAAGGCGCUGCAGUUGAAGAGGAAGCUGAAGCCGGUAGAAGGUUCUGCCGAUGAUGAUAUCAAAGAGAUAGAGACAGCCAAUCAGAUCCGGCUGCGCGCCAUAUCAGCAAUCCAAGCGCUGCUGAAUAUCUGAAGCUUUCAUCGGCAACACACCUUUGUUUUCCCGCUUUUAGCUCUUAGUCUAGCCGAUAAGACUGUUAUCGGCAUCUUUUGAAACAUCAAGUCUGCCCCCAAACAUUUAAAUCCAGCCGACAGGAUUGUUAUCGGCACUUAAACUUUUAUGCAUCGACCCAAAUGCUGGGGUAGUACUUCUUUAGAUACUUGCCAUUUAAUGCUCUGGGAAAUUCAAUUCCUUCGAGGGUUUCUAGAAUGUAGGCGUUACCAGGAGCCGAUCGACUUAUCCGAUAAGGACCCUCCCAAUUAGGAGACCACUUCCCAAACUUCGAACUUUUGGUCCCGACUGGCAAAAUCAACUUCCAUACCAAAUCCCCAUCGGUAAACUCCUUAGCCUUUACUUUCUUAUCAUACCAUCUAGCAAUUCUCUUCUUAUUUUCUUCUAUACUCAUUAAAGCCUUUAACCGAUGCCCUGCUAAAUCAUCUAACUCAUCGGUCAUCAAAGUGGCAUAAUCAUCGGCAGCCAAUUGAUCUUGAAAAGAUAAUCGCCUAGAUCCAGCCUUAAUCUCCCAAGGCAACACUGCAUCAUGUCCAUAUACCAAUUGAUAGGGUGACACCUUGGUUGAUCCAUGACAAGCCAUCCGAUAAGACCAUAGUGCUUCAUUUAGCAAUGUAUGCCACCGCCUAGGAUUUUCUUCAACCUUUCGUUUAAUAAGCUUGAUAAUUCCUUUGUUAGACGCUUCGGCCUGCCCAUUGGCUUGAGCAUAGUAAGGAGAAGAAUUCAACACUUUAAUUCCCAUACCGAUUGCGAAUUCAUCGAACUCCCCUGACGUGAAUAUGGUGCCCUGAUCGGUGGUAAUCGUUUGGGGAAUCCCAAAUCGGUAAAUAAUAUGCUCCUUCACAAAAUCAUUCAUAUUGGCCGAUGUGACUUUCUUCAAAGGAAUAGCUUUGACCCACUUAGUGAAAUAGUCAGUGGCAACUAGAAUGAACUUAUGCCCUUUGCUAGAUGGUGGAUAAAUCUGGCCGAUCAGAUCGAUGGCCCAUCCCCAGAACGGCCAAGGUUUUAUUAUAGGAUUCAUAGCCGAUGCGGGUGCUCUCUGGAUAUUACCGAACUUUUGACAACCUUGACAUCCCUUGAAAUAUUUAAAACAAUCUUCAAGUAUGGUUGGCCAAAAGUAUCCAUUCCUUCGAAUCAUCCACUUCAUCUUAAAAGCUGACUGAUGCGCUCCACACACUCCUUCAUGGAUUUCCCCCAUCAAACUUCUGGCUUCAUCAUCACCCAAGCAUCGGAGAAGAAUUCCGUCGAUAGUUCGAUAAUACAAUUCAUUUUCAAGGAGCACAUACUUGGUCGCUUGAAAUCGAACCCGUCUUUCAACUUUUUUGGAUGGAUCUUUUAGAUAAUCAAUAAUUUCCUUCCUCCAAUCACCGGCACUGACUGCCGAUGUUGCAUUAAUCAUUGGCUGAUAUCCCGAGGCAUGCUGGGCUAACCGAUUAGCGUCUUCAUUAUGCAAUCGGGGAACAUGAUCCAAUCUGAAGUCCUUGAAUUCCUUUAACAGUUGCAUACUUCUCUCGAAAUAGGUUAUGAGAACUUCACUUCGGCAUUCAUAGCUUCCGGCCAAUUGAUUUAUAACCAACAUAGAAUCUCCGAAUAUUUCAACAGCAUCAGCACGAACUUCUCUUAACAACUCCAAUCCCUUGAUCAGAGCUUGAUACUCAGCCUGAUUAUUUGUUGAUGUAGCAACAAUCGGCAAGGAAAACUCAUACUUCCUCCCCUUAGGAGAAACUAAUACAAUGCCGAUUCCUGCUCCCCGGUCACAGGUAGAUCCAUCAAAGAAGAGCGUCCAGGGUGCAAUUUCCAAGGUUUCCACUAGACCGCAAUGCUGAGUCACAAAAUCGGCCAUAAUCUGCCCUUUGACUGCCUUAGCCGAUUCGUAACGCAAAUCGAACUCCGACAGCGCUAAAAUCCAUUUGCCGAUCCUACCACUCAUAAUCGGCAUAGAUAGCAUGUAUCGGACCACGUCAUCUUUGCAAACAACAGCACAUUCGGCCGACAACAGGUAAUGUCUCAGCUUGAUACAUGAAAAAUAUAAGCAUAAGCACAGCUUCUCAAUGGCCGAAUACCUGGUUUCAGCAUCAAUCAAUCUCCUACUCAAAUAAUAAAUUACCCUCUCUUUCCCUUCAAAUUCUUGAACUAAAGCUGAACCGAUGACCGAUCCAUCAGUAGAUAAAUACAAUUUGAAGGGCUUCCCUUGUUGAGGUGGAACUAAAACUGAAGGAUUUACUAGAUACUUUUUGAUUUCAUCCAGAGCCAACUGCUGUUCUUCUCCCCAAACAAACUCUUGAUCGGCUUUCAAUUUAAGGAGAGGACUGAAAGCACGAAUCCUCCCAGAUAAAUUCGAUAUAAAUCUUCUGAUAAAAUUCACCUUGCCGAUCAAGGAUUGGAGCUCGGUUUUAUUGGUAGGGGCCACUAUUUUAUUGGUAGCAUCAAUAGAUCUUCGACUAAUUUCAAUACCCCUCUGAUGUACCAUGAAACCAAGAAACUGCCCUGCCGAUACGCCAAAUGCACACUUGUUGGGAUUCAUCUUCAAUCCAUGCUUCCUUGUGCACUCCAACACUUUUCGUAAAUCGGCAAGAUGCUUUGAGAAAUCUCCAGACUUAACCACCACAUCAUCAAUAUAAAUCUCUACGAGCUUGCCGAUGAACUCAUGAAAUAUGAAAUUCAUAGCCCUUUGAUAAGUAGCACCAGCAUUCUUUAACCCAAAAGUCAUGACUAUCCACUCAAAUAGUCCAACAUGACCAGGACACCUGAAUGCGGUUUUUGGAAUAUCCUCCUCUGCCAUGAAUAUUUGAUUGUAUCCUGCAUUACCAUCCAUGAAGCUGAUGACCCGAUGGCCAGCCGCAGCAUCAACCAGUAGAUCGGCGACAGGCAUUGGGUAUCCAUCCAUCGGCGUAGCUUUAUUGAGAUUCCUGAAAUCAAUGCACACCAGAAGCUUCCCGUUCUUCUUGUAAACCGGAACAACAUUGGAGAUCCAUUCGGCAUACCGACACUGCCGAAUAAACUUAGCUUCAAUAAGUUUAGUGAUUUCGGCCUUAAUAUCAGGUAGAAUGUUAGGAUUACAUCGGCGGGCUGGUUGCUGAUGUGGCCGAAAUCCAGACUUGAUGGGUAACCGAUGUUCAACAAUUGAUCGGUCUAAACCAGGCAUCUCUGUAUAAUCCCAAGCAAAGCAAUCUUUAUAUUCCUUUAACAAACUAGUUAACUGCCGUUUACACUCAGGAUCUAAUUUAGCACUAAUAAAAGUAGGCCUAGGCUUAUCACCACUACCUAUAUCUACUUCUACCAAAUCAUCGGCCGAUGUGAAUCCCUGGCCCAACUUUCCAUCAUCGGCGAAUCUAUCCAUUAAAAACCAUCGUCAGAACCGACUGCUUGGAUCGGUGGAAUUUCAUAAUCGGCAACUUUGAGAAAAUCUUUCUCCCAAACUUCUCCUGAAAUGCACCUAGUCCUUUCAUAAGUAUCCGCUUCUGCUGAUGCGAUAACAUAAGAUGAAUCCCCUGGGACGAUCUCAAUCUUGUCACCUACCCACUGAACCAAGCACUGAUGCAUUGUAGAUGGGACACAACAAUUAGCGUGAAUCCAAUCUCUCCCCAAUAAUAAAUUGUAAGCACCUUUUCCGCUGAUCACGAAAAAAGUUGUCGGCAAGGUUUUGCUGCCGAUGGUCAACUCUGCACAUAUCGCCCCCUUGACUGGAGACACGUUUCCUUCAAAGUCUUUGAGCAUCAUAUCGGUCUUGGUCAAAUCUUGAUCCCCUUUCCCAAGCUUCCGAUAUACUGCAUACGGCAUAAUAUUAAUAGCAGCUCCACCAUCAACUAGGAUCUUAGUCAUUGGCUGCCCAUCAACCCUUCCUUUGAGGAACAAAGCUUUAAGAUGCUGCCUCUCGUCAUCGGCAGGUUUCUCAAAGAUAGCCGUCAUCGGAUCCAGAGCCAACUGAGCUAUCUGAUCAGAAAAUUCCAACUCAUCGUCACUGGCUGGUGCAAGAAACUCUAUCGGCAACAUGAAGACCAUGUUGACGCCUGCUGAUGGACCUUCCCUCUUAGUGUCUGACGGCUGCCGACUUCCAGAGUUCUCUCCCUUGUUUAGCUCCUCUUGCCUUUCUCGUUGCAAUCUCCUUUUCUGUGUCUUGGUUAAUCCUUGAGGGCACCAUGGAGGAAGUGGCCUUUGCCUUACCGUCGGGCGUUGGUUCUCCCUUGACUCCAUGCGAUGCGUGUUAGCAUCCCUGCAAAAUAUGAACUCAUCGGGAACCCGCGCAUUAGCCAUCUCCUCGAGCUCUUCCUGGUUCCUGGGAAAAUACUGGACACGGUCACCGAGCCGAUCGCGGACGCUAAGCCUGCCCCCCAGCCGAUCAUGAACUGACGCCCUUCCUCUGAUUGGCCCAUUAAAUCGCCGUUCAUCAUCAUGAUAACGCCGAUCGUUCCUAUCGUACCGAUCAUAACCGUUGCAUUCAGGGCAGUCUCUGACAGUAGGAAGCUUGAUAUUUUCCUCCCAACAAUGGAUGAAGAAUGGGCAAUUCCAAUGAUCCCUGUGCCGAUUCCACUCCUGUCGGCGUCUUUCUUCUUCCCGUUGGUAAUCUUCCUGCUGGCGCCGAUACCGAUCUUCCCGUUGUUGCCAUCUCUCUCGAGGCCUUCUAUGAGUUAUGACGAUGCCAGAUCGAGGAAGCCUUCCUGAGCUAGUUCCUUCCUGGACCAAGCCUUUACUUCUUGCAUCGGCAGUAGUAACUUGAUGCUGAGGAUCUACCGAUGCACUCUUCUCAGUUGUCUCCGACGUUAAGACCUUAGCCUUCCCCUUAGCAUCCAACAUGUUUGUCGGGAAAGGAUGUUGGUCUAUCUUCAUCGGCUUCUGGGCUUUAGAACUGUCAAACUUGAUUCUCCCUGACUCUAUAGCCGAUUGCAGCUGCUGUCUGAAUACUUUGCACUCGUUGGUGUCAUGUGAAGUUGCAUUAUGCCACUUGCAAUAUCUCAUCCUCUUCAACUCUUCUGCCGACGGGAUCACGUGGUUAGGUGACAGUUUGAUUUGACCUUCCUGAAGUAGAAAGUCAAAUAUCCUAUCGGCCUUGGCGGUGUCAAAGGCAAACUUCUCUGGUUCCUUUUGCCCAAAAGGACAAGACAUCGGCUUCUUGUUUUUUACCCACUCUGCUAAACCGAUUACUGGUUCUUCAUCGGAAUCUGAGCUUGUUGCUUCAUCAACAAAUGACACUUUCUUAUUCCAUGCCCUCUUGGGCUCGAAGGGCUUGAUGUCUUGAUCAGAUAUCCUCUGCACCAAGUGACUUAAACUUUCGAACUCCUGAGAGGCAUACUUAUCCCUGAUAUGUGGCAACAAACCCUGGAAAGCCAAAUCGGCUAGCUGCCGAUCAUCCAGAACCAGGCUAUAGCAUUUAUUCUUGACCUCUCGUAUCCUCUGCACAAAUCCCUCAACCGACUCAUCAUUACGUUGCCUCAACUUGACCAAGUCGGUGAUCUUCUUCUCAUGAACCCCCGAGAAGAAGUAUCUGUGGAAUUGCUUCUCUAGAUCGGCCCAAGUAAUUACUGAGUUGGGAGGUAAUGAUAUGAACCAAGUAAAGGCCGAUCCAGACAAUGAUGAUGAAAAUAGACGAACCCUCAAUUCGUCCCUGUUACCAGCCUCUCCACAUUGAAUAAUGAACCUAUUGACAUGCUCCAUAGUUGACGUGUCGUCUUGUCCGGAAAACUUUGUAAAAUCCGGUACCUUGUACCGAUGUGGAAGCGGGAUCAAAUCAUACGCUGGAGGAUACGGUGUCUGAUAAGAAUAAGUGUUGACUUUGGGUUUUAUCCCAAAUUGUUCCCUCAUUACUUCAGCAAUCUUAUCGGCCCAAUACGCAUCGGCAUCUUGCCGAUGAGGCGGCUGCGGAUCUGGCACUUGGUGGCGAACCUCCACGUGUCUGUUUGGGACGUGACCUGCAUGGAACAUUGUAUUGGUCACCUGUCCUCCAAUCUGCGGACUACCAAACUGCUGUCCACCGAUUGGCUGUCCUCCGAGUUGCUGCCCAAAAUUUAUUGGCUGGUUGGGAAUCCCCUGACCUUGGAACCCGGGAUAGACCUGCCCUUGCUGGAACCCUGUAGUCUGAUAACCCUGCUGGGGCGAUUGUGGAAAGGCUUGCUGUCCAAGCCAUCCAUUAUUAGCGUUCAUCGGCAUAGGUGCUGCCGAUGAUUGGUAAUUGGGUACCGUCGUUGAAUUGACAUACCCCGACUGGGCCAUAGGCCUCUGUUGCAUCAGCAUUGACUCUGCCGAUGCGUUGGGCAUCUGGAACAUUGAAUCUUGAGGAUUUCCAAUGUAAGGCCUUGCAGUAGUAGUUGUGGUAUACCGAGGACUCUGGUUCACCGGCACAUUGGAAGGUGCCGAUGUCAUAGGAGUUUUGCCCCUCAUGUCAGUUAUCUGUGAUGUUCCCGGCGUCAACUCUGGAGGCAUACCAUAACCCCACCAGUUGGGAGGAAGCGUUAACCCUGACAUUGCCGAUGCCAACAUAUCUGUUGUCAGUUUAUGCUGCCCAACUGAAAUUUGCGGGUUGGUUGCCAUCGGCAUAGAUAGUGCACCAGUAGUCCCCAAUGUACUUGGAGGGACGGCAGACUGUGCACUUGCAUUCGUCAAGGCAGCCGAUGGAGCCGUGACCUCUGGCGCCGUGGGUUGAUGAUGGGAGGGGCCCACAUAAUCUGGCGGGAUUUGUCCUUCCUUGAAGGUUCUUGCCACGGCGUUGAAAAUCGUAUUAGACAGUACACCAGCUUGGUUAAUCAACGCUCGAUUGAUGGCAUUGUCAACCAUAUCUUGAAGCUUGCCAGGAUUGGCGUCAAAGGUGACCUGCCGUGGUGCCGGUAGUGCAUCUUUCUGGACCACUUCGCCGCUCUUGUUUAUGCUGAAAGACCUCAGGCAUUGCUGCUUGAACUCUUCCAUGGCUUGGGCAAUAGCUUGCUUCUGCUCAUCCUUGAGGUUGGCCUCGGUCACGGGGAUGACGUUGUCUUGAUCGAGGUCAGAGAUCGACAUGUUGAUCUUGAUCUUGAAUCUGUCCCACCGGGCGUGCCAAAAGAUGUGUUGAUGCAAAACUGAUCUGCAAACACAAAGGGCUAAUACCCGAUUCAAACGUUAAGGCGUGCCAGCCGAUUUGACCUUGCUAUCGGCAAAGGUGAUAACUCGAAUACUUUAGUCCUGACAACAGCGAUGCGCCCGGAUGUCACGGCUAAGAGGUACUCACGCGGAACUCGAGAACACGCCGAGCUUAAGUCGACGAAUUCCUAAGAACUCAUAGUAAAAGGAAAAAAAGUAUGACGAAGUCGUCGAAAAGUAGAUGCUAGAAUAUGAGUAAAAACGUGUGUUUGAUUGAUUUCUUGAUUCUCUGAUUACAAGGUCCUAGGGUUUAUAUUUAUACCCUGCUCAAAGAGCUACGACCAGACAUGAUUAGAAUUCGAAUUCCAAAUUACAUGGAAUCCGUAUACAAAACGAUGCAAAUAACUAAGGAAAUAAUAAAACUACCCUUCGUGACAAACGGAAACUCCUCCACAUGACAACUGGCAGCUUCCGGACUCCUCCUUCGCGCCAUCGGCAAUCCCCUUGCCAUAGUCAUCGGCAGACCUUUUUAUCCAGUCAUCGGCACCAUAUUACUGCCUGUGGACUUAGUCACAUUCAACCUCUCCCUCAUCGGCAACCAUCCUCAUCAGCAACCCGCAUCGUACUGCCACCCUAUCCUGCCAUCCUGGACACGUGCCCAAAAAUGGUGUCAACAAGUAUUUUUUUAACAUUUUUAUUUUCUUUUCAAGAUAGCAUGAUUAACUAAUAAUCUAUUUAAGGAAAGUAAAUAAUUAAAUGGAAAGGGGGAUGCAGAAAGGAUAAAUAUGGAUAACUACCAAUCUUACCUUUCGGCGAGGGUUCAAUGUUUUAAGUCUUCUUGUCAAGACUUCUCAUCGUGUUCAUUCUUCAGGUGCGUCAUUUGAUUCAGGUGCGGACCUUGACGUCUGCACCUUUUAAUACGGUGUCACCCAUGUUCUUCGUUUGCCCAGCAGUUCGAAGUGCGGCGUUAGCAGUAUCUUGCUCAGUGUUUUUGUGCUUGUAGUGUACCUGCUUAUAGAGACAAGGCAGAGAUCAAGUGCAUGGGCCCUGUUGGUGGAAAACACCAACAGAACCAAAAGUGUAUUUGUUCUUUUCUAACCUUAAGCAUAGUGAGCAAGACAAAGUUGAUGGAUGAUAAGUUCAUGAGUGUAGCACUUAUAACAUUUGUCAGAUCAGAUCGCUCAACCUUAUGGAAAGAUAAUCUAUUUAUGUAUAUGUCUUUUUCUUUAUAUCUCUCAAUGAUUGAAUGUGUAACAUUUUAGCUCAUAUGAUUAGGAGUGUGGGAUCACGGAGGUAGUACUAAGAACAAGGAUUAAAGGACUAAACAUGUUGAAUCAGUUGGGUUGGUUAAUCUAGAGUUGUAAAUCAUACACGUUUGUCUCUUUUAUUUAUAUGAACGCCAGAACCAAGGAGAAGCUUAUAAAAGUGAUAGUCAAGUACCUUAAAAUGUUACCUUGCUCGAAGAGUGAUGGUACAGUAUCAUCUUGUGAAAGCUUUCCUUUCUUAGCGGUUGUGCGUCGUGUUUGUGGCACCCUCCAUGGAUCAUCUCUCUAUGAUGAAUGAGCUAUGUCCUUCUUGUGCAAAUUGUUAAACUUCAUGUGUUACUCUCUUCGUCUCUGAUGUGAGUUUAUCUCAGGACUUCCCAAAUCGAUAUUGAAAGUUUUUCUGCAGGGGUUAGUCCGACAAAAUAUACCAAUAUCUACUCAAGCAGUUUUUUUUAGUUCAAUAACCAAACUAGACUCCAUGUCUAAUCAGAUUAAGGAAGGCUAUUUAACCUAAGCACCAUGCUUAAUUUAAAUGCCAAUGGAAGUAUGGCGAGUACUUCCAAAC
This 16380-nucleotide long non-coding RNA is filed under the name Sorghum bicolor (sorghum). RNAcentral describes it as "long non-coding RNA (SBIC_LNC017866)". Lineage: Eukaryota; Viridiplantae; Streptophyta; Magnoliopsida; Poales; Poaceae. The record is from RNAcentral.